This 253-nucleotide ribosomal RNA is filed under the name Bacteroides stercoris ATCC 43183. RNAcentral describes it as "partial 16S ribosomal RNA". It matches the Rfam family "Bacterial small subunit ribosomal RNA", at positions 524 to 776 of the family's 1533-position model. RNAcentral also lists the same sequence under 2 other names. Lineage: Bacteria; Pseudomonadati; Bacteroidota; Bacteroidia; Bacteroidales; Bacteroidaceae. The record is from RNAcentral.
UACGGAGGAUCCGAGCGUUAUCCGGAUUUAUUGGGUUUAAAGGGAGCGUAGGCGGGUUGUUAAGUCAGUUGUGAAAGUUUGCGGCUCAACCGUAAAAUUGCAGUUGAUACUGGCGACCUUGAGUGCAACAGAGGUAGGCGGAAUUCGUGGUGUAGCGGUGAAAUGCUUAGAUAUCACGAAGAACUCCGAUUGCGAAGGCAGCUUACUGGAUUGUAACUGACGCUGAUGCUCGAAAGUGUGGGUAUCAAACAGG